This 271-nucleotide ribosomal RNA is filed under the name uncultured prokaryote. Its description in RNAcentral is "partial 16S ribosomal RNA". It matches the Rfam family "Bacterial small subunit ribosomal RNA", at positions 524 to 794 of the family's 1533-position model. The record is from RNAcentral.
CACGUAGGAGGCAAACGUUAUCCGGAUUUACUGGGCGUAAAGCGCGUGUAGGUGGUUCUGUAAGUAGGGCGUGAAAGCUCCCGGCUCAACUGGGAGAGGCCGUUCUAAACUGCAGAGCUAGAGGAUGGUAGAGGGAGGUGGAAUUCCAGGUGUAGCGGUGGAAUGCGCAGAUAUCUGGAGGAACACCAGUGGCGAAGGCGGCCUCCUGGUCUGUAACUGACACUGAGGCACGAAAGCGUGGGGAGCAAACAGGAUUAGAUACCCCUGUAGU